RNAcentral lists this long non-coding RNA (1058 nucleotides) under Cyanistes caeruleus (blue tit). RNAcentral's name for it is "lncRNA (ENSCCEG00000017500.1)". Lineage: Eukaryota; Metazoa; Chordata; Aves; Passeriformes; Paridae. The record is from RNAcentral.
CCCAAAUUCCCCAAUUUCCCUCCCGAUUUCCCGGGAAAAUCCGAGUUCCGCCCCCAGGGACGAAAAUCGGAAGAUUUUUCCCCAUUCCCAAAUCCCUUUAUUUUCUCUUUCCAAUCCGAAUCCCGAAUUUUCCCGCCCGGGGGGAAUCUGGGAAUGUUUUCCCGAGGAAUUCCGCCUCCCAUCCCGAUAAAUUCGGAUUUUUCCCGCCCGAGCAGCUCCGGGAAUGAAUCAAAACCUGGAAAAUUCGGGAUCCAAAUCGCUGAAAUUCCCCCAAAAAAAUCCGGGAGAAGCCUCGGGAUCAACGUCUGGGAUUUUCCCGCUGGGAGAAUUCCCAAAAAACCCAAAAUUUUCAUUUUCCCACCAAAAACUGGGGAGAGGGGCGGGUCCGGCGGAAUUCCCGGGGUUCGGGGAUCCCAAAUCCACCGGGAGCGACCUCGGGGAGGGAACGGGAUUUGGGAUCCCGGGAAAAAUUCUGGGAGGGAAAAACCCCCAAAAGCUAAACCCCCAUUUUGGGGUUAAAUUUGGGAUUUUAGGGUUUAAUUUAGAAUUAUUUGGGUUUAUUUUUGGAAUUAUUGGGGUUUAUUUUGGGGAUUUCGGGGUUUAUUUUGGGAUUUCUGGGGAUUUUUUUGAAUUUUCGGGGGUUUUUUUUGGGAUUCAUUUGGGAUUUUCGGGUUCGUUUUGGGAUUUUUAUCCCUUUUUUCCUGGGAAUUUUGAGGAUUUUCAAUAUUUCCAUCCUCUCUUUAUGGAAAUUACUCAAUUUCUCUCCUUUUCCUACAAAUUUCUCCAUUCAUCCCAAAUAUUUCCAAACAUUCCUAUAAAGCACAGCCGGGAAUUCCCAUUUAGGGCGGGAUUUAAGGGGAAAAGCCCAAAAAUGAGGUCCCAGAGCGCCCCAAAAUCCGAAUUUCUGGAAUUGCGCCCUUCCCACGGCCCCAAAUCCCCGAAAAAUCCGGGGAAAAAUGAGAAAUCGGCUCGGAAAUCCUAAAAAAAUCCCGAAUAUUGGGGGGACACUGAAAUGGAUGUGGAAUAAAUAUUAAAUGCAUAAAAAAUCUCUAUUAAAU